UACGUAGGGGGCGAGCGUUGUCCGGAAUCAUUGGGCGUAAAGAGCGUGUAGGCGGCUUGGCAAGUCUGACGUGAAAGCCCGCGGCUCAACCGCGGAUUGUCGUUAGAAACUGCCUCGCUAGAGUCCGGAAGAGGAGAGCGGAAUUCCUGGUGUAGCGGUGGAAUGCGCAGAUAUCAGGAAGAACACCCGUGGCGAAGGCGGCUCUCUGGGACGGUACUGACGCUGAGACGCGAAAGCGUGGGGAGCGAACAGG
RNAcentral lists this ribosomal RNA (253 nucleotides) under uncultured bacterium. RNAcentral describes it as "partial 16S ribosomal RNA". It matches the Rfam family "Bacterial small subunit ribosomal RNA", at positions 524 to 776 of the family's 1533-position model. The record is from RNAcentral.